AGUGAACGCUGGCGGUAGGCCUAACACAUGCAAGUCGAACGGCAGCACAGUAAGAGCUUGCUCUUACGGGUGGCGAGUGGCGGACGGGUGAGGAAUACAUCGGAAUCUACUUUUUCGUGGGGGCUAACGUAGGGAAACUUACGCUAAUACCGCAUACGACCUACGGGUGAAAUCAGGGGAUCUUCCGACCUUGCGCGAUUGAAUGAGCCGAUGUCGGAUUAGCUAGUUGGCGGGGUAAAGGCCCACCAAGGCGACGAUCCGUAGCUGGUCUGAGAGGAUGAUCAGCCACACUGGAACUGAGACACGGUCCAGACUCCUACGGGAGGCAGCAGUGGGGAAUAUUGGACAAUGGGCGCAAGCCUGAUCCAGCCAUACCGCGUGGGUGAAGAAGGCCUUCGGGUUGUAAAGCCCUUUUGUUGGGAAAGAAAAGCAGCAGGUUAAUACCCCGCUGUUCUGACGGUACCCAAAGAAUAAGCACCGGCUAACUUCGUG
RNAcentral lists this ribosomal RNA (492 nucleotides) under uncultured bacterium. RNAcentral's name for it is "partial 16S ribosomal RNA". It matches the Rfam family "Bacterial small subunit ribosomal RNA", at positions 29 to 507 of the family's 1533-position model. The record is from RNAcentral.